AGAGUCCUUGAGAGGGUGAAAACUCCUCAUUCAUCUUUGUAUCUUCAGUCAGAAAGGAAUGCACUUAAACCACCUCAGAAUGAUAGCUUCCUACUACAUUUUCUUUCAGGAACUUCAGAGAGGGCUCCCCCCACCACAUACACACUUUUGUAAUCCCUCACUCCCCAAAUUGUCUUAAUGUAUUUCAGGGCCUCCCAGCCCCCUGUGGAUGAGAAGUUCUUCCUAAGCUCCCUUCUGUGUUCCCAGACCUUUCUUUUUGUCAGUGGAAAAGGAGAACACGAUCCAUUCUUCAGCACAAUAGCCGUUCCCGUACUUUCAGAUUUAUUCAUUGAGUUUCCUCCAGCCUCACCUUCUCUUGAUUAAAUAAGGUUUCUGCUGGUCUCAGACCUGUCAUCGAGAGUUCUCACUUUCAUUGUGCAUAGAAAACGAUCAGAAGAAACUCACCCAGGACAGACCAAAAGCCACAGGAAGCUCUGCCCAUUGGAGCCUCGCCAUCUCCAACCAUCAGAAUGGAGAUUCUCCCAGAGCAAAAGCAUCCUGCAGGAGCACAAGACAGAUAUUGGAGGGAAGUUCACAUGUUUCUGCCUGAGACUGGGGCUCUGGUAGGAAACUUCAGAGGAAGACACGCUCUGGAAGAAAGCAUGCUAAACCUACUUAGACAUCAAAUUCACAACCAAUUGCAGCCCCCAAAGGGAAGGUCUCACUCACAUCUUGGGCUGAGACACAGGCUUUCCCUGGGGCAAUUCCCCUCAUAGUGCCCCAUCUUGCUCCCUUAGGCUCCUGCAUUUCUCUCUGUCACUCCCUCUCCAACCUUCUCCCCAGGAUUUCCCUUUUCUUCUUUCAUCCUCUUUUUUUACUGCCACUCUCUAUAGCUCUUCUCCCUGUAGCUUCUCCUUUCUUCCCUUUCCCCCCCGCAAGGAGCUGAUAAGCCUGUGUUUUUUGUUUGUUUGUUUCUUUGUUUGUUUUGAGAUGGAGUCUCACUCUGUUGCCCAGGCUGGAGUGCAGUGGCGUGAUCUCGGCUCACUGCAACCUCCGCCUCCCAGGUUCAAGCAAUUCUCCUGCCUCAGCCUCCCAAGUAGCUGAAAUUACAGGCGCGCACCACCACAGCCAGCUAAUUUUUGUAUUUUUUUAAUAGAGAUGGGGUUUCACCAUGCUGGUCAGGCUGGUCUCGAACUCCUAACCUCGUGAUCCACCUGCCUCUGCCUCCUAAAGUACUGGGAUUACACGUGUGACCCACUGUGCCUGGCCAAGCCUGUGUUUUAAGUCUGGGUGGCGUUAAUGGGGAAUAGAUGCUUAGAAAACAAAAUAAUUUGCAACACUAGCAUCUGCCUUCCAUGGGAUUCUCUUGCUGAUUCCUUCUUAACCGGACCUAGCUAGUGGAUUAUACAUUUGGUUUGCUGUUUUCCUUUAUCCAGGAAGUUCUUAAAGAAGUCUUGUAUUACAGUGCACAUUUAAUUACUCACUGUUGCCUACCCUGCUAUUUAUGUGUUUAUUUUUGCCAAAUAAUUCUACAGAUUUCUCAGUAACUGGCUAGUUAAAACCCUUCUGCAUUCUCUUCUUCUUAAUGAAAGUCCAGGCCUCCCUGUAUUGAUAGAAUCAUCUUUUAUACAUGUGAAUAAAUUGGCAAACUCUAUUUCUAAAAUGUCCACAGAUUUCCCCUUCUAACCUGCUCUCAGGGAGUUAUUUCUUGGCCUUGGGCUUAUCUGGAAAGGAUGCUGUGUAAAAAAAAAAAAAAAAAAAAAAAAAAAAAGGACAUUAUUUUUGUUUUCAGAACUCUUCUGGGCAGAGAGACUUCUUUUUAUUUAUUUUGUAAUUAGCUGUUCUGGAGCUAUUUUUCAAAAUCACCCAUGAAAAGAGGCAGAGAACCCUAGUGUAUCACAGUGAGCCUUUCAUCAUGUGCCCAUGCAAUCAAGCUGUUCUGUGACCAUCCAGGAGGGCUAUGAGAGACAGCAUCCCCUUGUAAAGUUUUGAAUUUGAACAUUGCAUCCCUUUCCUGGCUUCAUGGUCCCUGGGGGUUUGGGGAUGGCAAGAUAUAGCGCCUAUACCAUCUGACCUAAUGACCAAGGGGAGUGGCAGUCUUCAUGCCCAGGCAAAGUCAGUCUCCACGGCUUGCAGAUUCUUAGAUGAUUCACAACGCUCCUGAUUAAUAUCACAGAAGCCUCAAUACUGCAGUGAUUUGGCAAUCUCUGUGGGUGGGUGGGAAGCGUGCGCAUGUGUGUGCAUGGUGUAGAGUUGCACAUGCUGCAACGAGGAAAACCCGGAUCCCAAUUUCUCUCUUGGGAAAACAUUAAAGCACAGCCAAAAUAACCAACAGAACUGCCUGUGUCUACACAUCAAUAUUGAGCUUUAUGAAAUUAUACAAUCUGAAUAAACAAUUCUGAAUGCACCAAACCAGUAAAUACAUAUUAGCAGUUUUUAAGCAGAACAAUCUCCUCACUCACAGUGUAUGCACAUGCUGGCUCAAUUCACAGACUUUACCUGUCCCCCAGUAUAGACAAAGAGUUUUUCAUUUUAAAGCUACACAAAGAUUAUGAACACAGAAUCUUUUACCUCCUCAAACUACUAGAUCCUAAUAAAAAUAUUUUGUUCCAAAGAAACAAACUUCCGCCAGGCAGAGUUGAUUUUUAUUUUGUGUUAUGCUUCUGGAAUGUGUUACGCCUAUUUAAUGUAUGGCAUCUUAACAAGAACACUGCCUUAUGUUUCAGCCACUCUCUUCCAUACACAAAGUACUUUCAUAUUUAUUAUCUCAUUUUUAUUUUGUAUCUUACAACAAGUCCAUGAAGCAAGUACUACCAUCUCCUUCAUUUCACAGAUGCUUGAUCUGAGGUUUCCAAAACAUAAGUAACAUGCCCACUGCCUCAGAGCUAGUUAGAGCAAAGCUGAGACUCCCAUCCCAGGCUCUCCAACUUGACAUCCAAUACUCAUUCCACUCUCUGCCAUCUCCCUCCCCAGUAAACAUCAUAAUGAAGCUGUACUCUUGGCAAUAUGGG
Molecule: long non-coding RNA, 2990 nt
Filed under: Homo sapiens (human)
Lineage: Eukaryota; Metazoa; Chordata; Mammalia; Primates; Hominidae
Description: HSALNT0047613
Source: RNAcentral